RNAcentral lists this small RNA (129 nucleotides) under Allorhizobium borbori. RNAcentral describes it as "Rhizobium borbori Alphaproteobacterial ar14". It matches the Rfam family "Alphaproteobacterial ar14". From Rfam's summary of the family: Smr14C2 was renamed NfeR1 (Nodule Formation Efficiency RNA) highly expressed in salt stress and during the symbiotic interaction on legume roots. Lineage: Bacteria; Pseudomonadati; Pseudomonadota; Alphaproteobacteria; Hyphomicrobiales; Rhizobiaceae. The record is from Rfam by way of RNAcentral.
GAAUUUCGAGGAAGCGCUCUCCUCCUCCCUGCGCAGCCUCGAUCUAGCUGGAUUGGCUUCUCCUCCUCCCAAGCCUCCAGCCCUUAAAAAUGACGCCCACCGGAUCUCCUCCCCCGGUGGGCGUUAUUU